Molecule: transfer RNA, 63 nt
Filed under: Rattus norvegicus (Norway rat)
Lineage: Eukaryota; Metazoa; Chordata; Mammalia; Rodentia; Muridae
Rfam family: tRNA
About the family: Transfer RNA (tRNA) molecules are approximately 80 nucleotides in length. Their secondary structure includes four short double-helical elements and three loops (D, anti-codon, and T loops).
Source: Rfam by way of RNAcentral
GGGGAUUUAGCUCAGUGGUAGAGCGCUUGCCUAGCAAGCACAAGGCCCUGGGCUCAAUCCUCA